GAUGGGGAAAAUAAACAAACUCAAAGCUUUACAACGGAAUAGAUCUUUCCGUUAGUCCUUGCUUUAUGCUGUUUUCGGUUUUAGAAUCGAGUCGCCCUAGCGUAAAGCAAAAAGUGUAAGAAACGUUGAGUGACUGGUCAGGAAAUGUCUAUGAAGAAGUACAGUACUUUGAAGACUCUAGAUAAGAGACAAAAAUGGGCAAACUGCGUCUUGCGUUCCACGAAAAUUUGAAAACACUGGACUUAGUCACGCUCAUCUACAGCACAUAAUUUCCUCUGGAUGUACGAUUUUCCUAUAUUUAAAUAAGUAAAUCAGGACAAUGAAAAGCGUUCAUCACCUCUUCACAUCACCAGAUCAGCAUGAUCUCAAGGCGGAACAAGUUUUAAUCCACAUUCACUAGCAGUCGUUGGAUUCGGUGUGAAACAACGUUAAAUCCACAAAGCUGAAUAAGAGAUGGUCCUAGACGAAAUUUUGAAUGUUGGUAAUUCCUGCCCACAUCAUUUGCUGUAGGCCUUAAUCUGUGUAUUGCUCUGCUUUACGAUGCAUUUUUCAGACGGAAAGUAAUCGCAUUCCCAAACUUUGUAGGAAGAAAAACGUGGGUACUUUAAGUUACAUUGUUUCACUAUAAUAUUGCAUGUUUUGUAUAAGAUGUACUGCGUGUUUUGGGUUAGACAUACUGAAAUUAACAUGAAGUGUGUGUCAAUGAAAUAAAUAAUGUGAUUUGAUAGAUAGCAAAUUGUGUAACAUCAAGAUCCUGGUCUA
Long non-coding RNA from Topomyia yanbarensis, 762 nucleotides. RefSeq lists it as uncharacterized. NCBI's taxonomy places the organism in Eukaryota, Metazoa, Arthropoda, Insecta, Diptera, Culicidae. The transcript has 3 exons. The record is from RefSeq and is a predicted model, not a curated record.